AGAGUUUGAUCCUGGCUCAGGAUGAACGCUGGCGGCGUGCCUAAUACAUGCAAGUCGAACGGAGACAUUAGCAAUAGUGUCUUAAUGGCGAACGGGUGAGUAACGCGUUGGUGACCUGCCCCAAAGUGUGGGAUAACAGUCCGAAAGGAUUGCUAAUACCGCAUGUGGUCUUCGGCAUUAGAAACCGAUUUCUAAAGGAGUAAUCCGCUUUGGGAAGGGGCCUGCGUCCCAUCAGCUAGUUGGUAGGGUAAUGGCCUACCAAGGCGUCGACGGGUAAGGGGCCUGAGAGGGUGGCCCCUCACAAUGGAACUGAAACACGGUCCAUACUUCUACGGGAGGCAGCA
Molecule: ribosomal RNA, 344 nt
Filed under: uncultured bacterium
Lineage: Bacteria
Description: bacterial SSU rRNA
Rfam family: Bacterial small subunit ribosomal RNA
Source: RNAcentral